CCUGUACUGAGGACUCCACAUCUGACACACUACUCCAGGAGUGGAUCUCGUUGCAGAAAGGAGCAUUUCAAUUGGUAUGCAGCACCAGCAGAGGCAUUAGAGCCACCCGUAUUAACUGCGAGGAGUGAGCAAUUAAGUGAACUUCAGUUACACAAGUCAACAGAUCUCUGCUUGAGUACAUUAGCUGAGGAUUUAGCGAAUUUCCAUUUGCAUCUAAUCAGGCGCAAUUCCUUCUUUACUUUUAAUGUGAUGUGUGCUUACUGGAUCCAAGCCCAAUUUUUUUUUAUUUUUCCUUUAAGUGCCUUGAUACAGAGUGCUGAUGGUACAUAAACCAUUUGCAGGCCAAUUGCUGUCCUGUGGUCAGCGAUACAAGACAAGGCUCUGGGUGGAUGUACUGGGUCAAGUCUUCAGAAAUUAGAUGCUUCUGUCUUAUGGGAGUCUGGAGGCUCUUGUGGGCUGUCUGGCUGUGUAGAUCCUGUGGUGGAUCUUGCGGUGAUCAAGUGCUAAAGGAGGGUGGGUGUCUGAGAAUCUGUUUUAUGGGUACUGAUACAGUGCGUUGCCCUUCAUCUCCACAGCUCCCACUCUGAUUUCAUGGUACAGAAUGUUGGGAUAAAAUGUCAGUCUGCACCUGGGAAUGG
Numida meleagris (helmeted guineafowl) is the source of this 638-nucleotide long non-coding RNA. RefSeq lists it as uncharacterized. The record is from RefSeq and is a predicted model, not a curated record. NCBI's taxonomy places the organism in Eukaryota, Metazoa, Chordata, Aves, Galliformes, Numididae. The transcript is spliced from 2 exons.